This 753-nucleotide ribosomal RNA is filed under the name uncultured bacterium. RNAcentral's name for it is "bacterial SSU rRNA". It matches the Rfam family "Bacterial small subunit ribosomal RNA", at positions 690 to 1446 of the family's 1533-position model. The record is from RNAcentral.
GUAGAGAUGUGGAGGAACACCGAUGGCGAAGGCAGCCCCCUGGGAUGACACUGACGCUCAUGUACGAAAGCGUGGGUAGCAAACAGGAUUAGAUACCCUGGUAGUCCACGCCCUAAACGAUGUCAACUGGUUGUUGGGGGAGUGAAAUCCCUUAGUAACGAAGCUAACGCGUGAAGUUGACCGCCUGGGGAGUACGGUCGCAAGAUUAAAACUCAAAGGAAUUGACGGGGACCCGCACAAGCGGUGGAUGAUGUGGAUUAAUUCGAUGCAACGCGAAAAACCUUACCUACCCUUGACAUGUCCGGAAUCCUGCAGAGAUGCGGGAGUGCCCGAAAGGGAAUCGGAACACAGGUGCUGCAUGGCUGUCGUCAGCUCGUGUCGUGAGAUGUUGGGUUAAGUCCCGCAACGAGCGCAACCCUUAUCAUUAGUUGCUACGCAAGGGCACUCUAAUGAGACUGCCGGUGACAAACCGGAGGAAGGUGGGGAUGACGUCAAGUCCUCAUGGCCCUUAUGGGUAGGGCUUCACACGUCAUACAAUGGUCGGUACAGAGGGUUGCCAAGCCGCGAGGCGGAGCCAAUCCCAGAAAGCCGAUCGUAGUCCGGAUUGUUCUCUGCAACUCGAGAGCAUGAAGUCGGAAUCGCUAGUAAUCGCGGAUCAGCAUGUCGCGGUGAAUACGUUCCCGGGUCUUGUACACACCGCCCGNAAGGGCCAUGGGAGUGGAAUCUGGCAGAAGUAGGUAGCCUACCGCAAGG